AAAGGUUAAACUUGUGUUUUGAACUUGAACAGAUUUUACAAUACGGUAUUUAGGCUUUAUGGUCCCUUCAUGGUUCAUUAGACAAAAUACCUCGCGGCUUUUUUUUGGGCACUAUGAUUCGGUGGAAUAGUUCUAUUGUUCUAAUUUGUGAACACUUUUAUCAUGAGGGAAUUCAUUUUGAAUUACUAGUUUCACUGAAGUGGCUGUCGGAAAGUCUCUUGCUUAAGACGGAUGGAGCCAAGAUGAACAUGCAUACAGUCCUAGACCCGAAGGAAGACAAUUUCAUUAUAGUUGCCAGAUAAGAUGAUGUGGCGUCCAAGGAUCCGACAGGCAGGUAUGUUAAGAUAAGAUUGUGUAUAUUUUUGUACGCCUUUUUGUCCUAUUUCCUCUAGGUGGCCUCCCAAGGAUCAGAACAGCAGGUAUGUUAAGAUAAGAUUGUGUAUAUGUUUGUAUGCCUUUUUGUCCUAUUUCCUCUAGGUGGCAGUCCAAGGAUUGAAAGUGAAGGUAUGUUAAGAUAAGAUUGUGUUUAUAUUUGUAUGCCUUUUUGUCCAAGUUUCCUUUAGUUGGCAGUCCAAGGAUUGAAAGUGAAGGUAUGUUAAGAUAAGAUUGUGUUUAUAUUUGUAUGCCUUUUUGUCCAAGUUUCCUUUAGUUGGCAGUCCAAGGAUUGGAAGUGAAGGUAUGUUAAGAUAAGAUUGUGUUCAUAUUUGUAUGCCUUUUUGUCCAAGUUUCCUCUAGGUGGCAGUCCAAGAAUUGGAUGGGCAGGUAUGUUAAAAUAAGAUUGUGUUCAUAUUUGUAUGCCUUUUUGUCCAAGUUUCCUCUAGGUGGCAGUCCAAGGAUUGGAAGUGAAGGUAUGUUAAGAUAAGAUUGUGUUUAUAUUUGUAUGCCAUUUUGUCCAAGUUUCCUUUAGUUGGCAGUCCAAGGAUUGGAAGUAAAGGUAUGUUUAGAUAAGAUUGUGUUUAUAUUUGUAUGCCAUUUUGUCCAAGUUUCCUUUAGUUGGCAGUCCAAGGAUUGGAAGUAAAGGUAUGUUAAGAUAAGAUUGUGUGCAUGUUUGAAUGUCUUUUUGUCCUAGUUUCUUCUAGGUGGCGGUCCAAGGAUUGGAAGUGAAGGUAUGUUAAGAUAAGAUUGUGUUCAUAUUUGUAUGCCUUUUUGUCCAAGUUUCCUCUAGGUGGCAGUCCAAGAAUUGGAUGGGCAGGUAUGUUAAGAUAGGAUUGUGUUCAUAUUUGUAUGCCUUUUUGUCCAACUUUCCUCUAGGUGGCAGUCCAAGGAUUGGAAGUGAAGGUAUGUUAAGAUAAGAUUGUGUUCAUAUUUGUAUGCCUUUUUGUCCAAGUUUCCUCUAGGUGGCCGUCCAAGAAUUGGAUGGGCAGGUAUGUUAAGAUAGGAUUGUGUUCAUAUUUGUAUGCCUUUUUGUCCAAGUUUCCUCUAGGUGGCGUCAAAGAAUCGGAAGUAAAGUUAUGUUAAGAUAAGAUUGUGUUCAUAUUUGUAUGCCUUUUUGUCCCAAGUUUCCUCUAGGUGGCAGUCCAAGGAUUGGAAGUGAAGGUAUGUUAAGAUAAGAUUGUGUUCAUAUUUGUAUGCCUUUUUGUCCAAGUUUCCUUUAGGUUGCAGUCCAAGGAUUGGAAGUGAAGGUAUGUUAAGAUAAGAUUGUGUUCAUAUUUGUAUGCCUUUUUGUCCAAGUUUCCUUUAGGUGGCAGUCCAAGGAUUGGAAGUGAAGGUAUGUUAAGAUAAGAUUGUGUUCAUAUUUGUAUGCCUUUUUGUCCAAGUUUCCUCUAGGUGGCAGUCCAAGAAUUGGAUUGGCAGGUAUGUUAAGAUAAGAUUGUGUUCAUAUUUGUAUGCCUUUUUGUCCAAGUUUCCUCUAGGUGGCAGUCCAAGGAUUGGAAGUGAAGGUAUGUUAAUAUAAGAUUGUGUUCAUAUUUGUAUGCCUUUUUGUCCAAGUUUCCUUUAGGUGGCAUUCCAAGGAUUGGUAGUGAAGGUAUGUUAAGAUAAGAUUGUGUUCAUAUUUGUAUGCCUUUUUGUCCAAGUUUCCUUUAGGUUGCAGUCCAAGGAUUGGAAGUGAAGGUAU
Long non-coding RNA from Mytilus trossulus (common blue mussel), 2056 nucleotides. RefSeq lists it as uncharacterized. The record is from RefSeq and is a predicted model, not a curated record. The transcript is spliced from 3 exons. NCBI's taxonomy places the organism in Eukaryota, Metazoa, Mollusca, Bivalvia, Mytilida, Mytilidae.